RNAcentral lists this ribosomal RNA (253 nucleotides) under uncultured bacterium. RNAcentral describes it as "partial 16S ribosomal RNA". It matches the Rfam family "Bacterial small subunit ribosomal RNA", at positions 524 to 776 of the family's 1533-position model. The record is from RNAcentral.
UACAGAGGGUGCGAGCGUUGUUCGGAAUUACUGGGCGUAAAGCGUGCGCAGGCGGUUGUGCAAGACAGAUGUGAAAUCCCCGGGCUCAACCUGGGAAUUGCAUUUGUGACUGCACGGCUAGAGUGUGUCAGAGGGGGGUAGAAUUCCACGUGUAGCAGUGAAAUGCGUAGAGAUGUGGAGGAAUACCGAUGGCGAAGGCAGCCCCCUGGGAUAACACUGACGCUCAUGCACGAAAGCGUGGGGAGCAAACAGG